UGUCGAAAGUCUGACGGAGCACGCCGCGUGAACGAUGAAGGCCUUCGGGUCGUAAAGUUCUGUUGUUAGGGAAGAACAAGUACCAGAGUAACUGCUGGUACCUUGACGGUACCUAACCAGAAAGCCACGGCUAACUACGUGCCAGCAGCCGCGGUAAUACGUAGGUGGCAAGCGUUGUCCGGAAUUAUUGGG
This 192-nucleotide ribosomal RNA is filed under the name Bacillus sp. (in: firmicutes). RNAcentral's name for it is "Bacillus sp. (in: Bacteria) partial 16S ribosomal RNA". It matches the Rfam family "Bacterial small subunit ribosomal RNA", at positions 373 to 558 of the family's 1533-position model. The record is from RNAcentral. Lineage: Bacteria; Bacillati; Bacillota; Bacilli; Caryophanales; Bacillaceae.